Molecule: long non-coding RNA, 1407 nt
Filed under: Phascolarctos cinereus (koala)
Lineage: Eukaryota; Metazoa; Chordata; Mammalia; Diprotodontia; Phascolarctidae
Description: lncRNA (ENSPCIG00000021167.2)
Source: RNAcentral
AAAAAAAGGUCAUACAUGUAGGACAAACUGAUUCAAUAAAUUCAAUAAGCAUUAAUUAAGUACUUACUAUGUGCAAGACUGUAAGAUUCAGUGGACGUGGGGCCAGAUCUGGAGCCAAGGCUACCAAGUUUUGGUUCUUCUAACUCUGGCUGGGCACUCUAGGACAAGUCACUUAGCUCAAACAUUCUAAAUUGCAGGACAGAAGCCAAUCUGCAUAAGCUUCCUCUUUGGAAACUCCCUACUCUUUGGACCCAAGAAAGGUGUAAAACACUGCUUUAGGGUGGGGGCAGGGGGCUAUAAAGAUAAAAACCAAAACAGCUCCGGCCUUUAAAGAGAUUCCAUUCUACUGAGGUGGAGCUAGGGGAGGUUAAAGAGAAGAGAGAUGCUGUGUAAACAAAUGCCAGGUCCCAAAUAAGGAAAAGCCUUUACUUAUACCUUCCAAAGGCCCUUUGGGGAAGUUGGAGAAGAGGAGUAGACUUUCUGAGCUUCCUGUUCCUGGAUCAGAUUCCUCUAACUCACUAGGGAAAUGCAAGGUCCAAGAAGAAAGACUUCUGGAGGCUGAGACAGAAGACAGAGCUGGAAGGAAACAAACAAUUGGUGGGAAGGAAUAGUGGGCCUGAGACCUGGCUGGGCUUAUACCCUUGAAAUAAAUACUUAGCAGAGCUGUACCACACAGGAAAAACACAAAGUGGAAUUCUCAUGGGCAUUGUGCUAGAGUUGGAUGCAGGAAUGAGAGGAAAUCCUAGUCUCUAGAAUAGACAAAGCAUCUAUGGGAACGUUCUUCCACCCCUGAGAAAAAACAUCACUUGGAGGGAGGGUUAGGGUAUAGAUUGGGUUGAGGUAGCAAGAGAUGGGGGAUACAACAGAAAUUCUGUUAGAGAAGCUGAGACAAAUAACCAAUACCCCGCUUGGCCUCUUGGCUGCUUCGAGCCAUCUGCUGGGAGCUGAGAAGAACUUCAGGAAGAGUGACUGUACAACACAACGUGGAGACACCUGCAUCCAUCGCAUACUAUGGGUGGUUGAACUUAUUGGUUCACAGUGUCUGGAUCCUUUUGGAGGAGAGCUUCGGUGCCAGAUUUAAGACAAAACUGGAAGUUUAAAUCCAAGUCUUCCUUGUUUCAGGGCCUUAUAAAAUUACUGGUUAUAAUAUUUCAGUCUAUGGCUGGGAACACCUUAAGGGUCCCACAAAGAUGCUACAUUGGAGAUCUAAAUUACUCCUGUGAAGUGAUAUAAAAACAAUAACAAGCAUGUAUGCAGCACUUUAAAAAUGAGGAGGACCAGGUACAUCAAUUGAUACAAUUUUUUUUAGAUACUUGAAAUUCAAAAAAAGAUUAGGUAUUUGUACUUGAUACUUCAUGAUUUUUCUUCUAUGUCUUUGUUAUCAAUAAAAAGACUUUUCAAAUAACA